AGCGAACGCUGGCGGUAGGCCUAACACAUGCAAGUCGAACGGCAGCACACUAAGAGCGUGCUCUGACGGGGGGCCAAUGGCGGACGGGUGAGGAAAACAUCGGAAUCUACUUUUUCGUGGGGGAUAACGAAAGGAAACUUAAGCUAAUACCGCAUACGACGUUCGGGUGAGAGCAGUGGAAAGUCUCACCGGGCGCGGUUGAAUGAGCCGAUGACGUAUUGGUUAGUGGGCGGGGUUAAGGCCCACGGAGUGGAGGAUCCGUAGCCGGUCGGAGAGGCUGGUCGCCCGCAUGGGAGGGGAGCCACGGUCAUGGCGCCUACGGGAGGCAGCAGUGGCGAAUAUUAGGCAAUGGGGGGAAGCAUGGUCCAGCCAUACCGCGUGGGUGAAGAAGGCCUUCGGGUUGUAAUGCCCUUUUGUUGGGAAAGAACAGCAGCAGCUUAAUACCCCGCUGUUCUGACGGUAACCAAAGAAUAAGCACCGGCUAACUUCGUG
Molecule: ribosomal RNA, 492 nt
Filed under: uncultured bacterium
Lineage: Bacteria
Description: partial 16S ribosomal RNA
Rfam family: Bacterial small subunit ribosomal RNA
Source: RNAcentral